UACGUAGGGUGCAAGCGUUGUCCGGAAUUAUUGGGCGUAAAGAGCUCGUAGGCGGUUUGUUGCGUCGGCUGUGAAAUCCCGAGGCUCAACCCCGGGUCUGCAUUCGAUACGGGCUAGCUAGAGUGUGGUAGGGGAGAUCGGAAUUCCUGGUGUAGCGGUGAAAUGCGCAGAUAUCAGGAGGAACACCGGUGGCGAAGGCGGAUCUCUGGGCCAUUACUGACGCUGAGGAGCGAAAGCGUGGGGAGCGAACAGG
RNAcentral lists this ribosomal RNA (253 nucleotides) under uncultured bacterium. Its description in RNAcentral is "partial 16S ribosomal RNA". It matches the Rfam family "Bacterial small subunit ribosomal RNA", at positions 524 to 776 of the family's 1533-position model. The record is from RNAcentral.